Molecule: ribosomal RNA, 486 nt
Filed under: uncultured bacterium
Lineage: Bacteria
Description: bacterial SSU rRNA
Rfam family: Bacterial small subunit ribosomal RNA
Source: RNAcentral
GACGAACGCUGGCGGCGUGGAUUAGGCAUGCAAGUCGAACGGUAUCAUCCUUUCGGGGGUGAGAGAGUGGCGAACUGGUGAGUAACACGUAGGUUAUCUACCCUCAAGACGGGACAACCCAGGGAAACUUGGGCUAAUACCGGAUGUGAGCAACUUUUAGUGUUUGAAAGGUGGCGUAAGCUGUCGCUUGGGGAUGAGCCUGCGUCCUAUUAGUUAGUUGGUGAGGUAACGGCUCACCUAGGCAAUGAUAGGUAGGCGGCCUUAACGGGUGGUCGCCCCACACUGGGAUUGAGAUACGGCCCAGACUCCUACGGGAGGCAGCAGUCGAGAAUAGUCUACAAUGGUCGGAAGACUGAUAGUGCGACGCCGCGUGAACGAUGAAUCCCUUCGGGGUGUAAAGUUCUUUUAUAUGUGAGCAGUGCUUCUUAUAUUAACAGUAUGGGGAGAGAGAUAUUAGCAUAUGAAUAAGCAACGGCUAACUCCGUG